UUCGCCCUUAGAGUUUGAUCCUGGCUCAGAACGAACGCUGGCGGCAGGCUUAACACAUGCAAGUCGAACGCCCCUUUCGGGGGGAGUGGCAGACGGGUGAGUAACACGUGGGAACGUACCUCUUUGUUCGGAAUAACUCAUGGAAACGUGAGCUAAUACCGGAUACGCCCUUUUGGGGAAAGAUUUAUCGCAGAGAGAUCGGCCCGCGUCUGAUUAGCUAGUUGGUGAGGUAAUGGCUCACCAAGGCGACGAUCAGUAGCUGGUCUGAGAGGAUGAUCAGCCACACUGGGACUGAGACACGGCCCAGACUCCUACGGGAGGCAGCAGUGGGGAAUAUUGGACAAUGGGGGCAACCCUGAUCCAGCCAUGCCGCGUGAGUGAUGAAGGCCUUAGGGUUGUAAAGCUCUUUUAUCCGGGAAGAUAAUGACUGUACCGGAAGAAUAAGCCCCGGCUAACUUCGUGCCAGCAGCCGCGGUAAUACGAAGGGGGCUAGCGUUGUUCGGAAUCGCUGGGCGUAAAGGGCGCGUAGGCGGACGAUUAAGUCAGGGGUGAAAUCCCGGGGCUCAACCUCGGAAUUGCCCUUGAUACUGGUUGUCUUGAGAUUGGAAGAGGUAAGUGGAAUUGCGAGUGUAGAGGUGAAAUUCGUAGAUAUUCGCAAGAACACCGGUGGCGAAGGCGACUUACUGGUCCAUAUCUGACGCUGAGGCGCGAAAGCGUGGGGAGCAAACAGGAUUAGAUACCCUGGUAGUCCACGCCGUAAACGAUGGAUGCCAGCUGUUGGGGAGCAUGCUCUUCAGUGGCGCAGUCAAC
Molecule: ribosomal RNA, 810 nt
Filed under: uncultured bacterium
Lineage: Bacteria
Description: bacterial SSU rRNA
Rfam family: Bacterial small subunit ribosomal RNA
Source: RNAcentral